Molecule: unclassified non-coding RNA, 377 nt
Filed under: Limosilactobacillus mucosae
Lineage: Bacteria; Bacillati; Bacillota; Bacilli; Lactobacillales; Lactobacillaceae
Description: Lactobacillus mucosae cspA
Source: RNAcentral
AAGUGUUAGUAUUAGCUAAAUUGACAUAUACGGAAGUUAUAAGUAUCAUUCAUCUUUGCUAUCUAUUAUUUUCUUAGAUGUUAAUUCAAUUUGGUUACUUUGGUUUGAUUCCUAGGAGGAUAUAUAUAUAUGCAAAAUGGUACUGUAAAAUGGUUUAAUGCUGAUAAGGGCUUUGGGUUUAUCACUGGUUCAGAUGAUAAAGAUGUAUUCGUACACUUUUCAUCAAUUAAAACUGACGGUUUUAAGAGUCUUGAGGAAGGGCAAAAAGUUAGUUACGAUGUUGAACAAGGCUAUCGAGGACCUCAAGCGACUAAUGUUGUUCCACAAUAAUUUGUCUACUAUUGUGAAGAACAGCUUUUGAUGGAGCAGUUCUUUUU